GACAGAGGAUGCAAGCGUUAUCCGGAAUUAUUGGGCGUAAAGCGUACGUAGGCGGCUUCAUAAGUCUAGGGUUAAAGACCACAGCUUAACUGUGGGAGAGCUUUGGAAACUGCGAAGCUAGAGGGUGGUAGGGGUAGCGGGAAUUCCCGGUGUAGCGGUGAAAUGCGUAGAUAUCGGGAAGAACACCAGCGGCGAAAGCGCGCUACUGGACCACAACUGACGCUGAGGUCCGAAAGCUAGGGGAGCGAACGGG
RNAcentral lists this ribosomal RNA (253 nucleotides) under uncultured bacterium. RNAcentral describes it as "partial 16S ribosomal RNA". It matches the Rfam family "Bacterial small subunit ribosomal RNA", at positions 524 to 776 of the family's 1533-position model. The record is from RNAcentral.